Molecule: long non-coding RNA, 2232 nt
Filed under: Octopus sinensis (East Asian common octopus)
Lineage: Eukaryota; Metazoa; Mollusca; Cephalopoda; Octopoda; Octopodidae
Description: uncharacterized LOC118764759
Source: RNAcentral
UAAGUACCAGUUGCACACUGGGGUCGAUCUAAUUGCCUACCCCACCCCCCACCCACCCCCACCCACAAAAAUUUCAGGCCUUGUGCCUAGAGUAGAAAAAAAUAAUGGUGAUGAUGAUUUUUUUUUUGUCUCCAGUGAUCAGGUGUGCUACAGAAUUGUGCAUAGAUGUAGAAAAUUAUACUGAAGUAUGUAUGGAAUGAUUUGUGAGAAUAUUUUCCAAAUUGUUGGUAAACUGGCACCGGGAACGAAGCAAGUGUGGUGCCUUUGCUUGAUUCUACUACUGUUAUUCCAAGAGAUCACAAGCUAUAAAGGCAUGGUUACAGCCUUGCAUUUUGGCGUUUAUAUAUUAGCCUCGUAACAGUAUAAGAACUAAAAAGGAAUGUUUAAUAUGAUGGAGUGCAUUUUCAUGUUUAAAACAGAAUCUUGAAGAAGGAAUCCCAAACAUAUAGCACAAGUUUUUGGGGCCGUUAAAGGGACAGGUUUAGGUUCAUCUAUAGUCUCCAUGUGUUGGUGUAAUGGUAGUUAUGUAGGGAAUUAUGAUUAAUUUUAGGAGGUAAACUAUGUAGGGAGAUAAUUGUGUUUGAAAAUAUAUUUUGUUGUAAACUUUAUGGUUGAUUUGUUUGUUGUUUUAUGUAUUGUGUUGUUAUUGUCUCUUGCCAGCUUUAUUAGCGCUACUACUGUUUGAAGAUUGAACAGUUACAUUAUAAAAGCACAAUAGAUUUAAAGUUCAUUGAUUAUUGAAGGGAGAUCAAUAUUAGUAGCUGGAUUUCAGGUGUUGAACUGCCAGAAUCAUUAGUUGGCCAAGCAAAAUGCUUACCGGCAUUUUGUCUGUCUUUAUGUUCUGAGUUCAGAUGCAGCUGGGGUUGACUUUACUUUCCAUCCUUUCGGGGUCCAUAGAAAACGUAACAACUGAAUGCUAGGGGUUGAUUUAAUUGACUUACCCCCCCCAAAAAAAAACUGCUGGCCUUGUGCCCAUAUUUGAAAUUCAACUCUAGUGGAGACAACAAGGUAGAAAUCAGUGAUUGGUGAAAUAUAACAACAAUAUUUAGUAACUUUUUAGGUUUGUGAAGUCUCUAGGGACUCCAUGAUAAAUGCUUUAAGGAUGCUUUUUUUUCUUGCUUUUGUCCUCCUGAUAUUAAAGUCGAGAGCCAGAACAAUGAGACGCUGCUCUUACUACAACUGUAUCAAAGAGUUUCUGUCAGAUGAUGCUCGGCUGUGCUGGAACAAAUAUUUGGUGACACAAAAUGUAUCGGUUUAUAAUACUGGGAACAAACCUUCUGUAAUUUGUUGAUUGGUGAUACAGCAAUGGCUAUUUUUAUAAUAUUGGCAUGUAUUAAUCAUUUGGAAUAACAUUUGGUGACACAGGGAUAUCACUGGGCAAAAUGUUUGUUGGGAACACAUCUUCAUAUUUGAUGUUGAUUGGUAAUACAAGGAUAACUUUUCCUUUUGUGUAAAAUUGGUGGGCAAAACAGGGAUAACAUUUUCUUCUCUCUAAUAUUGAUUGGCAACUGAGGGUUAACCCAUCUUCCUUCUAAAAAAAAUGGUGAUUUGUAACACAGAAAUAACACUGCCUCCUAUUAAAUGCUGAUUGGCAACAGGGAUAACCGUUCCUCAUGUCAAAUUUUGGUUGGUAACAUAAGGACAAUGCUUCCUCCUACCAAAAAUGGUUUUUAUUGGUGACGGGAAUAAGAUUCCCUGCCAAGCGUUGAUUGACAACACAGGGAUAAUGCUUCCUGCCAAAUGUCGGUAAAAGACACUUUUUGCUUUUUUAUUUCAUUUUUUUUUCAAUGAAAAAACACUUUUUUCGGCGUGUCUGUGUAUAUAUUUUUAAAUUCUCAUCUGUCUGCUCUAAAAGUAGAGUAUAUUUGUUGGAGUGAUGACGACGACGACAUUUUAGAAUGAGACGGAUGAGAGGAAGCUGGCAGGGAUCAAGGCAGGGAUGGGAAUUCAUGUCAGCUCAGUGUGUACGUCAGCGUCAGUGCAUGUGUGCGUUCCUCGAUGCAUGCACAAACGUCUGUGAGUGUGUGUGUGUCUGGUUGUCGAUGCCUCUUUCUAUACACUUUGUAUAGGUCACCCAGUCUGUAUCAAUUCUUAAUCCCCACCUCCCUCUCUCUCUCUCCAAGUAUUUAUGUACAUCUGUCAAUAUGUAAAUACAGACACACACAUGCAGAAGAACAUGUUUGAUGUCAAUUUGUGUAGAAAUAAACUUUCAAAAAAAUAAUUUUAAAAUUU